Molecule: non-coding RNA, 287 nt
Organism: Jatropha curcas
Lineage: Eukaryota; Viridiplantae; Streptophyta; Magnoliopsida; Malpighiales; Euphorbiaceae
Source: RefSeq, a predicted model, not a curated record
AAAGCCAAGGAGUAAGGCUUUCCAAGCUUAUUUUCAAGCUUGUUAAUAAGGUUAGGAGCGGAGGGUGUUCUUCAAGACCAGAGGACAAGCAUCAGAGUAGAGAUCACAUUUUGGGUAGGAUAUUUUGUUAAAUGGUGAUUUUUGGCAUGUAUAUAAAGAUUGUAUUAUGAAGGUUGUAUAUAAUAAGUUUAUAAUAUAUUAAGAGUUAUGAUUAUUGAAGGAAAUAACAUCUUAUUAUAUUUUUGGUGUAUGAUGAUUAUAUAUUCCUUGAAAAGAACGUGUUUAGA